CCUGAGGGGACCCCGAAGACAGGACACCCAUUUUAAUACAAAGCAUCAGCUGCCACACCAACGGGAGCUCCAUCUCAGGCCAUGUUAGUAGAAGCAGGUCUUGUAGAAAGAGGGAGGUGAUCUCCUUCCACCUCCUCUGGCCAGCCCUGGUCUACUGUGGGCAACCCGAGAGCGGUGCGGGCACAGCGAUGGUACGCCCACCCCUUCCUAUCAGUUAUGCCGGGUUUUCUCCACCCUCAGCAUCCCUGAUCCGAGGAGCGGCUGAUAAAGGCCCGUAGUUCUGGUCUUUCAAACCUCCGCAAUUAUGCAGAAUUUACCCCUCUCCCCUGGUGAAAGUGGGCCUGGGGGAUGAGUCCGGCUGCAGGUCAAGAAUUCUACUUUAUCAGCAGCUACAAAAACAUUAACCUGAUCCCCGGGGGCGAAGUGUAGCUGGUUCAGCAGCUCCUGGAGUCGCCUGGCCUUAGGAGAGCCUGUGUCUCCCAGUGGCCUCAGAGAUUGGGUGGCCCCUCGCAGGGUCUCCAAGGACCCGGCCGUGUGCUUACAGCCUGGUUUCCCACCCUCAUCUCCCCUCUACACAUGUACGAUUCUGCCAAAAGAGAGCACGGUCCAGCUUUUUCAAAAACACAUUAUAUUAGUUGGUGUUGUGUUUUUUGGUUGCAAGGGGCAGAAUGCCAACGCAGACUGGGCUGACCAAGAAAGGAAAGUUUAUUGGCUCAUGUGACUGAGAUGCACAGGGUUAUCUGGCGUCAGGCCCGGCUGCAUCCAGCAGCUUAGGGUCUCCGUAUCUCAAUCUCUUGGCUCAGUGCUAGCUUCAUUCUCAGACCAGCUUUCCCCUAGGAAGUUGUGAAAUGGUUGCUGAAAGCUCCAGACUCAAAUCUGGAGCUCAUCAACAUCAGUAAAAAUAGAAUUUCGCUGCCCCAAGAGCUUGAGCCCAAAGCUCGGGAAUUAAUGCCCAGAGAACAGAUGGGAUUGUUGUCCACCCCAAAUCAGUUCUGCGCAAGAGGCACUGAGCACAGGGAUGCCCAGGCGUGAGCCAGGUGGCCCAGGAUGCAGGAGAAGAGGCCUCUCCAGAGGGGGGUACAGUGAGGGUUGGUCUGCCGGCAGCCGGGACUGGGGAGGGUGGCCUCUAAAGGACGCGGCAGAUGCUCUGAACAGAGGCAGGGCCAUCGAGCGACGGGCACGCAGCAGCCUGUGCCCACCGCCACGAGCAUGCCUCUCUCCUCCCGGCAGCCGGGGCACUGGUAUCGGGCCAGCAGAGAGUGGGGGCCGUAAAGCCCAGAAGAACGGCUCUGGCUCUGCGUGGGGAGGCUACCCUGCGUCUUCAGGACUGCGUGCCUGCUCUGUCUGGAAGGGGGACUGGAACACAGGGAACCACAGGAGGGUUUUGAAGUUUGAAAGCUGAGCUUCCUGCCAAGCUGAUGACUAACAAAAAGAGAGGCGUCUCUGGAGCCUGUGUGCCGAAAAGGGGAGGGAACCCCGGGGCUGGGGGGGCAUCGUGCGCAGACACCAGCCUGCACCCUCUCCACUCCGUCCUUUUUGAGGAGCCCUGUACAGCCCAGCUGUCCACUCGGCUGGGCCUCGCAGGUGAAUCAAGACCGGUUCACACACAUCCCGAUGCCCCGCCCUGCUUGCCAACAACUGGACUAGGUCUGAACAGGCAUGUGAUUCUGCCAGUGACAGGCAAGGCCCUUCAGAACCAGUCUCCUCACCGACAAAAAGAAACACAUACGGGGAAUGCCUGUCGUGGCUCAGGGGAAACGAACCCGACUAGGAUCCAUGAGGGCGAGGGUUUGAUCCCUGGCCUCCAAAAGCAGCUUGGGAAUCCAGCGUUGCUGUGGCUCUGGUGUAGGCUGGCAGCUGUCGCUCCGAUUCGACCCCUAGCCUGGGCACCUCCAUAUGCCAAUGGGUGCGGCCCUAAAAAGAAAGAAAGAAGGAAGGAAGGAAACACAUGGGCAUUCCCAUCGUGGCACAGUGGAAGCGAAUCCUACUAGGACCCAUGAGGUUGCAGGUUCGAUCCCUGUUGGAUUCGUUAACUGCUGCGCCACGACGGGAACUCCUGAACCGUGACGUUUAUUAGUGCGCAUACUCACCCACCCUCCACUGAACAAAUAUGCACGGAGAGCCUACUGUGUGCCAGCCACCUGAGCCUGGUGCUCGGGGCAAGAAAACAUCACGUCUUCGGGAACCUCCUUCAUUCGCCAGCUUUCCCCCCAGCGCCUCCAGCCGGCACCCGGCACCCAACACGCCGGGCUCGGGGGAUGCAGGGAGAACAGGCCGACGCAGCCCCUGCCUUCCGGGAACAAGGGACAGAUCCUUCUGUAAAAAGGCGGUUCCAACAGAGAGGACGAAGAACCCGAGCAGAGGCACACACAGGAAGAGGACUGGGACCCAGGAAGGAAGGCUUCCGGGAGGAAGAGACACGUCCCUGAGCCCUGAAGGGCGACUUGGCAAAGGAGAGGAGGGCGAGCGGAAGGGCAGAGAGAACAAGGCACAUCCCGCCCAGCCCGAGCGCAGAGCUCAAGGAGCAGAAGGGAAAACGGGCCAGACCACGGCGCUCCGGUCAAGGACCCCGGAAGGACCAGCAAGGGCCCUGGACUCGGAGGCGUAUUUCUGAAAGCUGACCCUGGUGGUGGCCCGCGAAGGACAGGACGAAGGCGGGAGGCAGUGGACGCAGGGACGCAGGCAGAGCCCCAGCCCGGCCUCGCGCAGCGGGGUCGCGGGGAGAGCUGAGGGAUGCCGUGCUUUGGGGGGUUCUCCGGAGGGCAGCGCUCGAGUACAGGGGACAAAGACUCGACUGGGAGGCAGAGGAAGCUGGGUUCAGACCUGCUCUGCUCUUAGCACCGACGUGACCUCCAGCAGGAGCUGUACCUCGCUGUGCCUCCUUCAUAAAACGGGACCCUACGCCCGCCUAACGGCUCACAGCGCGGGCAAAGGCACGGGCACCGUGAGGAGCACGUCGGAGCCUGCGAGGGGAAGGGAACACCUCAAAACCGAGUCCACAGGAAAACAGGGCAGGGCAGCCCAUCUGCUCCCGGCAUCCCUUGAGGGAACCACAGAUCCAGCGUGCUCUCCCUAUAAACCAGGGCUGAGAUCCUACCUCCAGGCCUCUCUCUGUGGCCUCUGUGGUCACUCGAUACCUUGAAGCCUCCGUCUCCUCGACUGUAAGUCACCGACUUGGCAGGGCUGUCGUGGGGAUGGGCCGAGAGGGUGCUUAGCACGUAGAAGGUGCUGCAUAAUCAGCUGCCAGGCUUCUUACUAAUAUUCGCUCUUCUUACUUUCAUUUUUGCAGGAAUCAGGAGCACUUCCUUCGUGCCAGGGCCUGUGCUGGGCAUCAGAGAAAAGCUGCAAAUAAUAAAGAUGUCCGUAAAUAUUUAUUAAAGGCUCACGGAUCGGAUGGCUCUUUACGUGUGUGUAUACAGGCAUUAAUUAAUCAAAGCCCCACGUCCAUCCUGUGCAAGAGCUACUGUUACUGUCAACUCCGCUUUCUAGGAGAGGAAGCUGAGGCUCAGAGCAAGAGGGGAGCUUUCCCAAAGUUACCCCAGGGGUGAGGGAGGUGGCUCUGAGCCUGGCUCGUCUGGUUCCUGAGCCCACACGUGAGGCCGCCUGCCGCGCGAGGGUCAGCAGUCGGUGUCUGCUCGACCCAAGCCACCUGGGACCUCCCGGGGGACGAGGGACGGCUUCUCCUCGCAGUGGUCCCACACGCUGGCAUCGGACGGCCUGGCUGUGGAGCCCGGCUCUGCCGCUUCAAGUCUGCGUGACCUUGAGGACGUUAUUUAGGGUCUCUGUCCCUCAGCGCUUCCUCUGUAGACGCCACACAGCAACACCCUCAGCGAGCUGUGUGAGGUGACACUGAGGUGACAGCCUCAGCGAGACAGUGCAUCCAAGCGCUCGCCCAGUGCCUGGCACACAUAUGUGCUCAAGAACGUCGGCUGUUAUUUCAAAGUGAAAGGGGACUUUAUUGAUGCCUGGAAAUAAAGUACAGAAAGCACAGGGGUGGCACCGACCUUGGGCCACCGAGCUGUGGGACUUCCCGACACCGUCAGAGGGCGAACACUGGGCCACCGGGGCCUCUGUUACCCUGCCUCUCCCGCCCCCUCUCUCGCCCACAUCAUUUGCUCUCUUCUCUUCAGUCUGGCUUCCGCUCUUGGCACCAUGUCCCCGAGAUGUGGUACCAUGGGCCUCGGGUAGGACUGUCAGUUAGAAUACGGGGCGCCUGGCUAAACUUGAAUUUCAGAUCAACCAUGACCAAUGUUUCAGUGGAGUAGGCAUCGCCCAUUUGGGACCCGCUAAGGAUUAUCGGGAUCUGGAAGUGAAUACGAUGAUGGAGCCCUUCCCUGGGAGAAACUUACCUCUCUGUGGCCAUGCCCGUGGCAUGUGGAAACGCCUGGGCCAGGGAUGGAACCUGUGUCACAGCGGCCACCUCAGCCGCAGCAGUGACAACGCCAGGUCCUUAACCCCCUGCACCACGGGGAACUCCGAGGAACUUACUUUCUAAAUGAAGGCAUCAGACGAGUAGAUAAACAAGAAAAGAAGAGGCAGUGGCCCCUCUGUACUGACAGGAAGACCGGGUGAGGCACCGAGCGUGUCGGGGGCCAGAGGCCACCCAGAGGGAGUGGUCGCGAAGGCGUCGCUGAGGAGCCGACCCGUGUGGCAAGAAGCCGGCCGUGGGCACAUGUGGGGAGAGGGUGUGCCGGGGAGGGAAGGGCCGGGGCAGGGUCCCGGGUGAGGACGGAGCGCGGCUAACUGAGCAGUGGAGGGAGGAGGAGCACUGGCCUCACUGCAGGGACGGGGCGGGGCGGGGGCGGGGCCAUCCCGGCGGCCGGAUCUGGGGGCGCACUUAGGGUGCGUUCAGCGUUAGGCCGAAGCGUCGCCUUGACUGCUGCACGGAGCGCGGGCGAAGGGGAAGGCCAGGCGCUCCUGCGGGAGCCCAGGGGACAGACGAGGCUGCUUCUGGACGGAGGUGGCGGAGAAGGGACCGGGGCUGCUCUGGGGACGCUUCUGGAGGCGGCGCUGACAGGCCUCGCGGGAGGGCUGGGGGCGCGGGGUGAACCCCAGGCUCGGGCGCGAGGAGCCGAGCGCAGCGUGACAGCGUCACCGGAGGGAGGCUGCCGAAGGCCCUCUCUGGGCUCACGGGUGCAGAUGAGGUAUUUGGUGGCGCUGUCCUUCCAGGAGGCUGAGGACGCAGGACAGGCUCUUGGGGGAAGAAGUGAUAUAAUUCCAAUUUCACAUUCAGCCUUAUCUAAAGGACACGCACAUUGUAAUACCCUAAGAAAAACAAAAAGCACACCAUAGUCACAAACGACACAAGUCACACUGGACCAAGGCUUUGGGCGGGCAGCUCUGCUUCUCCGGGUGGGGGAGGGACACAGGAGUCCUAAGCGGGGCACACCUGUCAUCUCUGGCCCGGGAUGUGGCCGGCGGGGUGGAAACAAAUAGAGGCUGAGGUUCUUCUAGUUGCGUGCGUGUGUGUCGUUGUGUUUGUCUUUUCGUUUUGGGUUUGCCAUUCUGCCUCUGCUUUUGGUGAGGAGGGAAGGGUGAAACAGAAUUUGAGAAGGAAAAACGCAAAGGGUGGGUGAAGGUAGCCUCCCAGAGGCCCAUCGCCCCGCCCAGGCCUGAGGGAGCUUUCGAGAAGGAAGCCAGCAUCUGACAACGGCUCCAGGGGUGACCUCUGGCCUCUUGAGACAGCCACCUGUUUUCAGUCUGGAAAGAGCUCACGCAGGGAGUGAAGUGUCCAGAACACAGACGCUAAAGCAGAGGCUGACAGUGCGGGGAGCGUCCGCCCAGAGGGGCCUCGGCCCGGGGGUCCCAGCCGGCAGAGCCCGGGAGGGACACUCUGGACGGUAGACGCCGCCCGGCUGGCUGUCCCCGCGGAUCAAUCACGCCAGCAGAGCUCGUGCGUCCCAGACACAGAGCCGAGGGCUUCCCCGCCUGACCCCGUCUGGAUGCAGCGCAGCCUGUGAGGCAGGGCUGGUUCCUGGUUCCGCCCAAAGGAGAGAAAGUCCCGUGUCCGCCGAGGCCACGCGGCUGGUGAGCGGGGCGCCAGGGUCCGAACCGCAACGAUUUCCCUUUGCAACCCGGGCUCCUGACCCCCGGCCCCUUCACCCCAGACGCCCUCCCAUGUCCAGCCUCCUUGCUCGCUAGGUUCAAUCCUGUCCUCAGACGGGAGGGCUCCAAGCAGCUCUGGUCCAGCC
This 6191-nucleotide long non-coding RNA is filed under the name Sus scrofa (pig). Its description in RNAcentral is "lncRNA (ENSSSCG00040013395.1)". Lineage: Eukaryota; Metazoa; Chordata; Mammalia; Artiodactyla; Suidae. The record is from RNAcentral.